This 1042-nucleotide non-coding RNA is filed under the name Blumeria hordei DH14. Its description in RNAcentral is "Blumeria graminis f. sp. hordei DH14 Bacterial small subunit ribosomal RNA". It matches the Rfam family "Bacterial small subunit ribosomal RNA", at positions 70 to 804 of the family's 1533-position model. The record is from Rfam by way of RNAcentral. Lineage: Eukaryota; Fungi; Ascomycota; Leotiomycetes; Helotiales; Erysiphaceae.
UGGAUAAAUUAUCUAAAUUUACACCUGGGUAAAUAUAUUUAUAGUGGGGGUUUUUUUUAUUAGAAGUGGUGUACAGGUGAGUAAAUGAUAUUUUGGCUACCUUAAAGUGAGGUUUAAAAAUGCCUUGAGGAAAAAAAUUCCGCUUUAAGAGGACAAUGAAUAUUUCGGAUAGGUAGUCGAUAAAGUAAUUUUUUUANCGAGCUUAUAAUUCCGUAAUCGUAACUGAGAGGUUGAUCGAUCACAUUGGGUCUGAAAAAGCCCAAUACGUAUAGUACAGCAGUGGGGAAUAUUGGUCAAUAGCCGUCAGGCUGAACCAGCAACUUGGGAGUAUGUAUAGCUUUUAACUAAGCUAAUAUCACGUACUAAUGGUGUGUAUAAACCAUUUAUACGGUAGAGAGAAAUAACUCUACAAGACCAUAAGAAGGUGGGCUGGCCCAGCAAUGGGUAGGUGCCAACUCGAUACCCGUAAGGGGGACGGGGGUAAAUCACGAGUACGUGAGGACCCGGCUAAGCGGAAAACUAUCUUUUUCUAGGCGUAAGGGGAAUUAUAUUUUUCGAGUCGUCUUCUUAAGAGGGUGUUUAAACAAUUUAAUAUAGUCGUUGCCUACAAACACUAAUAUAAAUUGGAAUAAACUUUACUUUGAUAUAUCGAUUUACUCGAAUAAAAUACUAGGUAGUAAAAUAUCUUAAUGUAAAGGGUUAAGAUUUCUCUAAUAUAGGAAUUACGAAUUGAUUAUGACCUUAAGCUAUCUACAAGUCUUGACCAAAAUACGUGCCAGCAGUCGCGGUAAUACGUAAAAGACUAGUGUUAUUCAUCUUUACCAGGUUUAAAGGGUACCUAGACGGUAAAAAUCGUCGUAAAGAUACGAUUAUACUAGAGUUAUAUAUAAGGAGGUGAGUAUUUAUGGAGUGUGAGAGUUGAAAUUUGUUCAUACCAUAAGGACUGGUAAAGGCGAAAGCAACCUUUUAUCUAAUAACUGACGUUGAGGGACGAAGGCUCGGGUCGCGAACAGGAUUAGACACCCUAGUAGUCCAAGCAGAA